GACCAGCAAAACAUGCACUGUGUGGGGUCCUGAGGACCGAGUUUGAGAACCUGUGCUCUAGAAGACUGAUAGUACUCCUGUUAGUAAGGUCAGUCACGUCCUGCUGAACCCUUCGACGGUCAGUCACGUCCUGCUGAACCCUUCGACGGU
This is a long non-coding RNA of Pseudophryne corroboree (corroboree frog), 150 nucleotides long. RefSeq lists it as uncharacterized. The record is from RefSeq and is a predicted model, not a curated record. The transcript has 3 exons. NCBI's taxonomy places the organism in Eukaryota, Metazoa, Chordata, Amphibia, Anura, Myobatrachidae.